RNAcentral lists this ribosomal RNA (422 nucleotides) under uncultured bacterium. Its description in RNAcentral is "bacterial SSU rRNA". It matches the Rfam family "Bacterial small subunit ribosomal RNA", at positions 125 to 542 of the family's 1533-position model. The record is from RNAcentral.
CGUACCCUGUCGUGGGGGAUAACUAACCGAAAGGUUAGCUAAUACCGCAUACGACCUGAGGGUGAAAGCGGGGGAUCGCAAGACCUCGCGCGAUAGGAGCGGCCGAUGUCAGAUUAGCUAGUUGGUGAGGUAAAGGCUCACCAAGGCGACGAUCUGUAGCGGGUCUGAGAGGACGGCCCGCCACACUGGAACUGAGACACGGUCCAGACUCCUACGGGAGGCAGCAGUGGGGAAUUUUGGACAAUGGGCGCAAGCCUGAUCCAGCCAUUCCGCGUGAGUGAAGAAGGCCUUCGGGUUGUAAAGCUCUUUCGGCAGGAACGAAACGCUCUGGGCUAAUACCCCGGGGCAAUGACGGUACCUGAAGAAGAAGCACCGGCUAACUACGUGCCAGCAGCCGCGGUAAUACGUAGGGUGCGAGCGUU